This 96-nucleotide signal recognition particle RNA is filed under the name Oceanospirillales bacterium. RNAcentral describes it as "signal recognition particle sRNA small type". It matches the Rfam family "Bacterial small signal recognition particle RNA". From Rfam's summary of the family: The signal recognition particle (SRP) is a universally conserved ribonucleoprotein involved in the co-translational targeting of proteins to membranes. Lineage: Bacteria; Pseudomonadati; Pseudomonadota; Gammaproteobacteria; Oceanospirillales. The record is from RNAcentral.
CGUUGGUCACCUAGCAACGACUAGCGGUGGACCUGGUCAGGCCCGGAAGGGAGCAGCCACAGUCGUGAAUUCGUGUGAUAGGACUGGCUAACGGAA